CGGCGGACGGGUGAGUAACACGUGGGUAACCUACCUAUAAGACUGGGACAACUUCGGGAAACCGGAGCUAAUACCGGAUAAGAUAUCGAACCGCAUGGUUCGAUAGUGAAAGANGGUUUUGCUAUCACUUAUAGAUGGACCCGCGCCGUAUUAGCUAGUUGGUGAGGUAACGGCUCACCAAGGCAACGAUACGUAGCCGACCCUGAGAGGGUGAUUCGGCCACACUGGAACUGAGACACGGUCCAGACUCCUACGGGAGGCAGCAGUC
Molecule: ribosomal RNA, 268 nt
Filed under: uncultured Staphylococcus sp.
Lineage: Bacteria; Bacillati; Bacillota; Bacilli; Caryophanales; Staphylococcaceae
Description: partial 16S ribosomal RNA
Rfam family: Bacterial small subunit ribosomal RNA
Source: RNAcentral